RNAcentral lists this ribosomal RNA (237 nucleotides) under uncultured bacterium. RNAcentral's name for it is "partial 16S ribosomal RNA". It matches the Rfam family "Bacterial small subunit ribosomal RNA", at positions 15 to 245 of the family's 1533-position model. The record is from RNAcentral.
GAUCCGGCUCAGGAUAAACGCUGGCGGCGCACAUAAGACAUGCAAGUCGAACGGGCUUAACCAUUAGUUUACUAUUGGAGCGGUUAGUGGCGGACUGGUGAGUAACACGUAAGCAACCUGCCUAUCAGAGGGGAACAACAGUUAGAAAUGACUGCUAAUACCGCAUAUGCCUAAGUACCACAUGGUACAAUAGGGAAAGGAGUAAUCCGCUGAUAGAUGGGCUUGCGUCUGAUUAGA